Molecule: ribosomal RNA, 924 nt
Filed under: Triticum aestivum (bread wheat)
Lineage: Eukaryota; Viridiplantae; Streptophyta; Magnoliopsida; Poales; Poaceae
Description: partial small subunit ribosomal RNA
Source: RNAcentral
GCCAUGGGAGGUAACGCCAAUACAAAAAAGAAAAAAGUUGAAGCAGAAGGAGAAGGAGAGAGCAGCACAAAGAAGCUGAAGGUCACCAUGGGGGUGGAGACCAUUGACUGCCCAAUCUGCUACGAGCCCCUCAGGCCUCCGAUAUUCCAGUGCUCCGUGGGGCAUUGUAUAUGCUCGUCUUGCCGUGAGAAGCUGGACAAGAAAUGUCCCGUGUGCUCUAUCAAAACUUCCUUCAAGCGCUGCUUUGCGAUGGAACAUGUCGCCCAAGAAGCCAAAGUUGCUUGCUCCAAUGAUAAGUAUGGCUGUGUCGAGGGGGUCAUCUACUACCAGAAAGAAGAACAUAAGAAGGCAUGCCCAAAUGCCCCGUGCUCCUGCACGGAGUCCGGUUGUGGCUUCACUGGACCAGCAAAGGUGCUCCAGGACCAUUUCAUCAUCCAGCACAAGUGUCUGUCUACAAUCCUCCCAGACUCCGGUACGGUGUCACUUCGCUUACAGCCAGGGUUACAUGUUUUGCGAUGCACCGAGACCAGCUACUUUUUCUUGCUCAACAUGUCAUCAGAGCCUCUUGGAUAUGCCAUCUCAGUCAUCUGCGUCCAACCAAACGUCACGGAACCCAAGUUCAAAUGUAAUAUGGAAUAUGACUGCAUAACGACGGGCUGUCGUGAAAGUAUAAAUUGCCACAUAAGAAGCUCUUCACUCUCUGAUGGGCUACCCAUAGUGUACGACUUAAUAAUUCCCAAGGGAAAGAUUUCCGAUGAUCAAAAUGGUAUCAUGCUCGAAGCCACCAUUCUCAGCAGAUCAUGUCUUCAAGGAAAGGGUUCGACUCCUGAUCUUCAACGAACGCCCUGUAUUAAAACUGCUAAUACUGCUACUGCUACUGCUGAUGAUGACAAUGAUGAUGACGACGACGAUGAUGACGACGAC